This 253-nucleotide ribosomal RNA is filed under the name uncultured bacterium. RNAcentral's name for it is "partial 16S ribosomal RNA". It matches the Rfam family "Bacterial small subunit ribosomal RNA", at positions 524 to 776 of the family's 1533-position model. The record is from RNAcentral.
UACGUAGGGGGCUAGCGUUGUCCGGAUUUAUUGGGCGUAAAGAGCGUGUAGGCGGCCAUGUAGGUCCGGUGUGAAAACUCGAGGCUUAACCUCGAGAUGUCAUCGGAAACCAUUUGGCUAGAGUCCGGAAGAGGAGAGUGGAAUUCCCGGUGUAGCGGUGAAAUGCGCAGAUAUCGGGAAGAACACCUGUGGCGAAGGCGGCUCUCUGGGACGGUACUGACGCUGAGACGCGAAAGCGUGGGGAGCAAACAGG